GAUGAACGCUGGCGGCGUGCCUAAUACAUGCAAGUCGAGCGAACAGACGAGGAGCUUGCUCCUCUGACGUUAGCGGCGGACGGGUGAGUAACACGUGGAUAACCUACCUAUAAGACUGGGAUAACUUCGGGAAACCGGAGCUAAUACCGGAUAAUAUAUUGAACCGCAUGGUUCAAUAGUGAAAGACGGUUUUGCUGUCACUUAUAGAUGGAUCCGCGCCGCAUUAGCUAGUUGGUAAGGUAACGGCUUACCAAGGCAACGAUGCGUAGCCGACCUGAGAGGGUGAUCGGCCACACGGGAACGGAGACACGGUCCAGACUCCUACGGGAGGCAGCAGUAGGGAAUCUUCCGCAAUGGGCGAAAGCUUGACGGAGCAACGCCGCGUGAGUGAUGAAGGUCUUCGGAUCGUAAAACUCUGUUAUUAGGGAAGAACAAAUGUGUAAGUAACUAUGCACGUCUUGACGGUACCUAAGCAGAAAGCCACGGCUAACUACGU
Molecule: ribosomal RNA, 496 nt
Filed under: uncultured bacterium
Lineage: Bacteria
Description: partial 16S ribosomal RNA
Rfam family: Bacterial small subunit ribosomal RNA
Source: RNAcentral